CAAGAUUAAGCCAUGCAUGUCUAAGUCCAAGCUGUGCUUGUCACGGCGAGACCGCGGACGGCUCAUUAAAUCAGUCGUGGUCCAGAUGGGCCAGUUUUGAACCUACUUGGAUAACUGUGGUAAUUCCAGAGCUAAUACAUGCAACCCUUAUCCUGAUGGCGUCGCUCUCUCUUGCAGGGCAGCGAUCGUCCUGACGGAUGCUUUUAUUAGACCAAACCGCUGAGGGCAGUGCGUGUUCGCUUUGCGGGCCGCACCGCUUGACUCGUUUAAUGGUGACUCUGGAUAACCUUUUUGACAAGCGCACGUACCCACUCCUUUGGGCGGGACGGCGCUGCCACUUUCGAGUGUCUGCCUUAUCAGCUAUCAACCGUUCGUUAUGUGCGACCGAUGGCUUUGACGGGUAACGGGGAAUCAGGGUUCGAUUCCGGAGAGGCAGCCUGAGAAACGGCUACCACGUCCAAGGAAGGCAGCAGGCA
RNAcentral lists this ribosomal RNA (476 nucleotides) under Urothoe pulchella. RNAcentral describes it as "bacterial SSU rRNA". It matches the Rfam family "Eukaryotic small subunit ribosomal RNA", at positions 40 to 434 of the family's 1831-position model. Lineage: Eukaryota; Metazoa; Arthropoda; Malacostraca; Amphipoda; Urothoidae. The record is from RNAcentral.